AGGGAUGUAGCUCAAAGGUAGAGCGGCGGUCUCCAAAACCGUUCGUUGGGGGUUCAAGUCCCUCCGUCCCUG
Non-coding RNA from Frankia sp., 72 nucleotides. NCBI's taxonomy places the organism in Bacteria, Bacillati, Actinomycetota, Actinomycetes, Frankiales, Frankiaceae. The record is from Rfam.